UUUGUCUGAACUCUUUGAGUUGUUGGAUGUUGGUCUUCAUUCUGGAGCCUGUAUAGCGCCAAGGCCAAGAACGUUGCCGACUGCCUUUGUUGAACCUGAGAUGGUAGCAAAGGAGCAACACAUCCUGGAAGCAGCAAAUCAGUGGGGACUUUUUUCCCAGGUGUCCUGUUUGUCUGGUCUCUCCCAGUCACACAAUACCGCCAUCGCUAGGAGGGUUAAGGCAAACACAGGCUUCUGCCGAGUCCUGUGAAAAGCCAGUACAGCUGAACGUGCUCGGAGGAGAACACUAAUCACCAGAUCUGUUACGUCAGCCACCGCACUGAGUGAUGGGGGCAGGCAGGGGGCCAUCCUGCCCACCCAAAGACAGCGAGGUCAACUGUGCUCUCAUGGACUCUUGGCUGCAGCAUCGCCAGGGAACGAGCUCGUGGUCUCCAGAUCAUGGGGCCAGAUUGGUUGCCUUGUUUUUUCAGCUUUUUCGCAUCACUGAUUUUCACAUCUGCACCACCGAUGCUCAGUUUCUAAACCCUUAGCGUGUCACUUCACCGUAGAGGCUCUGGGUGUCACAUUAACCGAGACGGAGAUCACACUGAGGCAGCUGACGCUAUGGUGAUAUGCUGUUGAUGUCAUUUGUCCAUCGCCAGCCAGCUAACAUUAGAGGUGAAGAGAGGCAAGUGAGAUGUCAGAUUUAGUAGCAACCAGUGACUAAGAAGUGUGUAAUGUUACAUCAUUAAGCAGGUGCUGCAGCCAGUCUCUUCCAGCCAAGGCUGUCAAUCACUUCAUUCUGCAGCACAACCUCGCCUUGUGACUGUGCAGUGUUUAAAACCUGAUAUCUGGGGGGAAAUUAAAAAAGUGGCAGUACCAGCAUAAAGUGCUAGAAAUGAAGCUAGAAAUGAAAGAAAUCAGGGAACAAACAGUGUAAAUGUUCCCUCAAAGGUUC
Molecule: long non-coding RNA, 937 nt
Organism: Pygocentrus nattereri (red-bellied piranha)
Lineage: Eukaryota; Metazoa; Chordata; Actinopteri; Characiformes; Serrasalmidae
Exons: 3
Source: RefSeq, a predicted model, not a curated record